Psammomys obesus (fat sand rat) is the source of this 528-nucleotide long non-coding RNA. RefSeq lists it as uncharacterized. The transcript is spliced from 3 exons. Lineage: Eukaryota; Metazoa; Chordata; Mammalia; Rodentia; Muridae. The record is from RefSeq and is a predicted model, not a curated record.
UCUCUGCUUCUACCUCAUGAGCCCUGGGGAUCAAACCUACAUCAUCAGGCUUGGCAGCAAGUGUCUUCACCCACUGAGCCGUUUUAACGGCCCUUAAUUUCUUCUACUGUAUUUUUCUUGAUCAUUCAGAACGCUCUUGGUUCUACAUAGGGCUAUUUUUACCAUUUUUAAACCUUUAAUUAGGCACCAGGAAGAGAGCCUGUGAGAGGCCACCAGUGAACCUGAAAUGCAGUGGUAGUGGAAGGCCUCAGCCUUUUGGAGAUGCCAGCACCGUGGGCUGACCUCCAAGAGCAGCAGCAGUGGCGUGGAGGCAGCAGGAGCGUGGAAGGCAAGCUGUGUGCUGCAGAGAGCAGAGCCGGAGACAUGACUCAAGCUCCCCAGAGGAGCCCAGAGAGCGUGAGGAAAUCCCAGGUUCUCCUGUCCUCUCGGUUGGCCUCCAAGUGGCUGUGUAGCUGAGCCAGGCCACGAACUCACUUCUUCCUCUACCUUCCAAGCUCUGGAACUGCCGCUCGCUGGUCCUUACAUGGC